AGAGUUUGAUCAUGGCUCAGGACGAACGCUGGCGGCGUGCUUAACACAUGCAAGUCGAACGGUGAUGGCCAGCUUGCUGGUCUGAUCAGUGGCGAACGGGUGAGUAACACGUGAGCAACCUGCCCUUCACUCUGGGAUAACCACGGGAAACGGUGGCUAAUACCGGAUAUGAGACGUACACGCAUGUGUCGCGUCUGGAAAGAUUUAUCGGUGAAGGAUGGGCUCGCGGCCUAUCAGCUUGUUGGUGGGGUAGUGGCCCACCAAGGCGACGACGGGUAGCCGGCCUGAGAGGGCGACCGGCCACACUGGGACUGAGACACGGCCCAGACUCCUACGGGAGGCAGCAGUGGGGAAUAUUGCACAAUGGGCGCAAGCCUGAUGCAGCGACGCCGCGUGAGGGAUGACGGCCUUCGGGUUGUAAACCUCUUUCAGCAGGGAAGAAGCGCAAGUGACGGUACCUGCAGAAGAAGCGCCGGCUAACUACGUGCCAGCAGCCGCGGUAAUACGUAGGGCGCAAGCGUUGUCCGGAAUUAUUGGGCGUAAAGAGCUCGUAGGCGGUUUGUCGCGUCUGCUGUGAAAACCUAAGGCUCAACCUUGGGCUUGCAGUGGGUACGGGCAGACUAGAGUGCGGUAGGGGUGACUGGAAUUCCUGGUGUAGCGGUGGAAUGCGCAGAUAUCAGGAGGAACACCGAUGGCGAAGGCAGGUCACUGGGCCGCAACUGACGCUGAGGAGCGAAAGCAUGGGGAGCGAACAGGAUUAGAUACCCUAGUAGUCC
Molecule: ribosomal RNA, 776 nt
Filed under: uncultured bacterium
Lineage: Bacteria
Description: bacterial SSU rRNA
Rfam family: Bacterial small subunit ribosomal RNA
Source: RNAcentral